RNAcentral lists this ribosomal RNA (254 nucleotides) under uncultured bacterium. RNAcentral's name for it is "partial 16S ribosomal RNA". It matches the Rfam family "Bacterial small subunit ribosomal RNA", at positions 526 to 779 of the family's 1533-position model. The record is from RNAcentral.
CGUAGGGCGCAAGCGUUAUCCGGAAUUAUUGGGCGUAAAGAGCUCGUAGGCGGUUUGUCGCGUCUGCCGUGAAAGUCCGGGGCUUAACUCCGGAUCUGCGGUGGGUACGGGCAGACUUGAGUGAUGUAGGGGAGACUGGAAUUCCUGGUGUAGCGGUGAAAUGCGCAGAUAUCAGGAGGAACACCGAUGGCGAAGGCAGGUCUCUGGGCAUUAACUGACGCUGAGGAGCGAAAGCAUGGGGAGCGAACAGGAUU